Oryza sativa Japonica Group (Japanese rice) is the source of this 191-nucleotide microRNA precursor. It matches the Rfam family "MIR812 microRNA precursor family". The record is from Rfam. Lineage: Eukaryota; Viridiplantae; Streptophyta; Magnoliopsida; Poales; Poaceae.
UUUAAAUGCAAUUGCGGAUUUUCGUGUCUAACGUUUGACCAUUUGUCUUAUUAAAAAAAAUUAUAAUUAAUACUUUUAUUGUUAUUAGAUGAUAAAACAUGAAUAAUACUAUAUGCGUGACUUUUAUUUAUUUUUUUAAAAUAAAACCGAUGGUCAAACGUUGGAUAGGGAAACUCACAAUUAAACUUAAA